RNAcentral lists this ribosomal RNA (494 nucleotides) under uncultured bacterium. RNAcentral describes it as "bacterial SSU rRNA". It matches the Rfam family "Bacterial small subunit ribosomal RNA", at positions 899 to 1397 of the family's 1533-position model. The record is from RNAcentral.
ACUCAAAGGAAUAGACGGGGGCCCGCACAAGCAGCGGAGCAUGUGGUUUAAUUCGAAGCAACGCGAAGAACCUUACCAGGCCUUGACAUCCCAUGCAAUCCAUAGAGAUAUGGAGUUCUUCGGACAUGGAGACAGGUGGUGCAUGGUUGUCGUCAGCUCGUGUCGUGAGAUGUUGGGUUAAGUCCCGCAACGAGCGCAACCCUUACGGUCAGUUACCAGCAGUAAGAUGGGGACUCUGACAGGACAGCCGAGGUCAACUCGGAGGAAGGUGGGGACGACGUCAAAUCAUCAUGCCCCUUACGGCCUGGGCUACACACGUGCUACAAUGGCCGUUAACAAAGAGAAGCAAGAGCGCAAGCUGGAGCAAAACUCAUAAAAGCGGUCUCAGUUCGGAUCGUGGGCUGCAACCCGCCCACGUGAAGUCGGAGUUGCUAGUAAUCGCGAAUCAGCAUGUCGCGGUGAAUACGUUCCCGGGCCUUGUACACACCGCCCGU